This is a non-coding RNA of Odocoileus virginianus texanus, 788 nucleotides long. The record is from RefSeq and is a predicted model, not a curated record. NCBI's taxonomy places the organism in Eukaryota, Metazoa, Chordata, Mammalia, Artiodactyla, Cervidae.
CCUGCCAGUAAUUUCAGCAAAUGAAACGUGGAACAUGUAAAGGCCAAAUGAUGGAAAACACUCAGGUUUUAAUAAAAGGAGGUCUGCUCGGCUGGGACUCCUCUGUCCUGCUAGUCAGGAGAUGCAAAGAUUUAUCCAGAGAGGGGCUGAUGAAUUGAAGAAACAGAAAUGAGGCCAAUUUCCCAGACCAGGGAUUGAAUCCAGGCCACGGCAGUGAAAGCCUGGAAUCCCAACCACUAGGCCAGCCGAGAACUCCCUGGGACCAGCUUCUUAGUUUGAAAAUUGUCAAAUAAAGAGGAAAGAGUCAAGCGUGUAUCCUUUCUGCCCCUGAUUCAACGGUGACACAUGAAUGAUGUUCAGUGAACAGUCAUCAAAUGGACCAACCAACCAGGCUACCAUCACCUCUGAGUGCGCCUCCAUCUGAAAUUGCAGAAACCCUCUAUAGCCACUGUGACCUCCAGUUCCCAUUUCAGACAGGCUGACAUCCAUGAUGUCACAUGAUAGAAGGUGACUCCAGAGAGACUGACUACAACAAGGCUCCUGGAGGGAGCUAUGGCAGACAAGAGUGGGUGUGGUUUUUCUUUAAUUAUUGUACCUGUUUUGUCUGUUCUUUCUUGGCUCUGUUCACAUCUCCACCCCAGCGCCAGUGCAGGGGGGAAAAAAAAACAGAACAAAAAGCAUCGCAGAGUUUGAGACAAGAUAGCUGGCCGGUUCCCUCUCUGCUUGUAAUUAAUGCUGAAAAUGACUUGCCUUGGCCACAAAGGUAAUAAUAAAGUCAGGGAGUCUGA